Molecule: long non-coding RNA, 3547 nt
Organism: Dama dama (fallow deer)
Lineage: Eukaryota; Metazoa; Chordata; Mammalia; Artiodactyla; Cervidae
Exons: 3
Source: RefSeq, a predicted model, not a curated record
CACAGAACUAGAGGCUGGUCGCUCCGCCCCUGUGCUCCAGCCGCUGAGCCGAUCAGAGUUUGGGUUUCGCGGCACCUCUUAAUCUACUCAGAUCGCGGCCUCUGGGCCCAGGUAUGUGCUGUGUGCUAAGUCUCUUCAGUAGUGUCCGACUCUGCCACCCCCAUGGCUCCUCUGUCCAAGGAAUUUUCCAGGCGAAUUCACCACUGGUCUACAUGAGAAUCCGGUGCAAGCGGCUGAAUGGUUGCAGUCCUGAGGAUUUCCCAGGUGUACACUACUUGUGGUUGCCAUUCCAGAUAACAGGCCCAACUUGGAGAAAUUCAGCACCUCUGUCCAGAAAGGUUUUAACUACAAAGUCAUCUUCAAUUUGUGCAACGACAGAGGGCCAGGAUAGUAACUGAACCAGGAAUGGCUUCUCUCCUGUGGCCGCAGGUACUGUGGUACCCAGGGACUUCUCCUUUGCUGUUUCAGAUGCCCUGUGAUGGAACCUUUAGCGCUCAGUUGCUCAGUCAUGUCUGACUCUUUGCAACCCCAUGGACUGUAGCCUGCCAGGUUCCUCUGUCCAUGGGAUUUCCCAGGCAAGAAUACUGGAGUGGGUUGCCGUUUCCUCCUCCAGGAAAUCUUCCCGACCCAGAGAUCAAACCCAUGUCUCUUAUGUCUCCUGCACUGGCAGGCAGAUUCUUUACCACUAAUGCCACAUAGGAAGCCCUAUGAUGGGGGCCUUUCACACACUGUAUACUCAAAUUCUCCUGAAAUUAAGCAUCUGCUUCACAUUGCUCCAGCCCAGCUCCCUUUUGUAAUUACACAUAUAAAUAGAUACUAAAAUCAAAUAGAAACAGCUAGAUAGCAACAGCAAUCCAAAAGGAAAAACUAAUAUGUUUGAAAACAUAUGAAUUUGUUGCAAUCAAUUCAUAUUCAUUGUUGUGUUGCACUAGUCACUUAAAUCGCCUUUGUAUAAUAACUAAGAUUUAUGAGACCUUAAUAUGUGCUAGAAACUAUGCUAAGGCUUUAUAAGCAUCAUUGCUUUUCAUCUUCAUUUCUUAGGUAGGUACUGUUAUGUUCCCCAUUUUACAAGUGAGAAUACUGAACCUCAAGAAGUUUAGAUGUAAUAUGAGGCCACAGAGCUAGAAAAGCCUAUUAACCAACAUCUGUACAGUUUCUCCUGGGAGCUGAAAAGCAUUUUCAACACCAUGGAAACAUGACAGAGAAUUCCCGGCCCCCACAGCCCACAGCCUCUGCUGCACUGCUCAGUCCUCCUGUGUUUCCCCAACGAUUGUCUGAACUGCCUGAUGUCAUGGUAUUUGCAGUCCUCCUCCUGUCCCUCCUAGAUUCAUGCUUUACUCAUCCUACUAUCCCAACGGUGUCUUCCAAAAUCUCCUAAAUCCCACGGCCCCCAAAGACAGGUGUGAAUAAUUGGCACAGGAGACCUACCUGUUUGUAGACUUUGUCUGUAGAAACUGAUGUGGGUUUCUAGCCCCCAGAAAAUUGUACUGACAGGUGCUUCCACUUGAUGCAAUUAAAUGGAUCUUCUGAAAAUCAUGUCCUCUCUGUAGACAAAGGUAUCUCCCGCUGGGAUAAUCUCAUCUCACCUCAAACCACAUUUCCUCAAACACACCCCCACCUGGGUGGACACACAUCCAUCCACACCUGCCAUAACUGCUUGUCAAAGGGGAAGCCAAGUCAGGCCUGAGUCUGGCACUGACUUCUCUGAGCGCUCAUCUAAGAAAAGCUGUCAGGAAGCUUGCAUUCCUGCAGACCCACUGUGUGCCGUGUUCUUCACAAUCAUGAUCUUAGCCUGCCAGCAACUGUUCAAGGUAGUUAGCUCUUACCCUCUUUGUACACGUAAGGGAGCUAAGGCUCAGGGCUUUGGGUGACUUGCCUCUGGUCAUGCAGCUGGUAAGCAAUAGGAAUUGGAUUUAGACCCAGAUAUAUUUGACUCAAAAACCUCUAUGCUGUGGUAGAUGUAUUUCCCCACCUUCCUCACAUCAGUCUCUCCCCAGAGAAGAGCUGUGACUCCACUGGUGACUGGCUGUUUCCCUUUUCUCUCCCUUCUCUCCCCUUCCUCCCUUCACCCCGGCAUCCCCACUAGUGAGUUGUAAUGUUGGAACCUGGGGAUUGAGAGGUUCCAAAUAUGGGGAGUCAAGCCCAUCAGUCCCUCGUUCAUCCCACUGUGAGUCUGGGAGAUCAUGUGAUUAUUUUUCAGAUGACACCCGUGUUCUCUGCAGAGGCACAGACUGAAAAGAAUUCAUUAGAGGAUUUUGAGAGCGUGUGUUUGUGAUGGGUAUGGUUGUAUGCACAGUGUGCAGAAUUUAUGAGCAUUUAAGAAAUCAGCCCCCACUGCAAAGCACCUUCAGUGCUUCUCCCAAAUGCCAGUUCCCCAUGAUGCCAAGGUGCCUCUGCUAAAUCAGAGGACGUUUAGAAAAAACACUUCAUGGAAUAUCUGCAGAAUAAUGUGAUAGGAAGAGGAGCAGCCUAGCCUCUGCCACUGAACGCAGAGUCCAGCUUGCCUGCUGUGCCCUGUCUUCUUCUCCUUUUCCGAGUCUGGCUACUGAGAUCUUUCUCGUGCGCGCUCAGGAAUCCUGGAGGAUGUGUGAGACCCAUGUGUCAGUGGUGCCAUUUGUACAAAACUCAAAAUAUCCAAGACACACAGAGCCUCCCAGUUUUAAGACUCAGAGACUUGAGUAUAAAUCCUCCUAGGUUCAGUGGGAUUUCCCUGGUGGUCCAGUGGUUAAAACUCUGGGUUUCCAAUGCACAGGGGGUGGGUUCAAUCCUUGAAAGGGAACUAAGAUCCUACAUGCCACACAGCCAAAAAUAAGUAACCAAAUUCUAGUAGGUUCAAUGAGACAAAAUGGCUCAAUGCAUUCUUAUGACUGCUCCAUCCCUUUUAUUGGGUUUGGCCUAAAUGGAAACUGCCAUGGAACCCAGGACAGUUUCUGAAAAUAAAUAGUGCUUAGGGAAGGUCUAAAUCUUUGAAGGGUAUAACUACAAAGAUCCUCUAAAGAUUCGUGGCAGGGUGAAAAGACUUCUUUUACAUCAGUCUUACUCUCUGACCACCCCAUUCAACCUGCCAGGAGAAAAACCUAGGGAUUACAGAACACUUAUCUGGUGCUUAGACCACACAUUGUCAGUUAAUUCCAGAAAUCUCCAGAGUGCAACAUGGAACAAGAAGGGAUGGAAUCCUAAGGAUAGAAUUGUAAUAAACAAGAAAUGAAGGCAGCCUUUUGUUUAUGUGAGGAAUAGUCAUCUAUUCAUGGAAAACUGAAGGAAAUGAAUUCUCACUGUGGGGAAGCGUAUUUGUUCUCAAACUGCCUUAGAAGGAAACCAGCAACAACACAGGCUGAAGCCCCUCCCCUGCUAACAUUCUGCACUAGUCAGAGAAACAGAACCAACGGGGUGUGUGUGUACAGAGAGACUAAGAAAUUAGCUCAUGCAGGGACUUCCCUGGCGGCCCAGUGUAUGAGAAUCUGCUUGCCGAGGCAGGGGACACAGGUUCAGUCCCUGGUCUGGGAAGAUUUCACAUGCUGCGAGCAACUAAGCCUGUGCACCACGA